GAUGAACGCUGGCGGCGUGCCUAAUACAUGCAAGUCGAGCGAACGGACGAGAAGCUUGCUUCUCUGAUGUUAGCGGCGGACGGGUGAGUAACACGUGGAUAACCUACCUAUAAGACUGGGAUAACUUCGGGAAACCGGAGCUAAUACCGGAUAAUAUUUUGAACCGCAUGGUUCAAAAGUGAAAGACGGUCUUGCUGUCACUUAUAGAUGGAUCCGCGCUGCAUUAGCUAGUUGGUAAGGUAACGGCUUACCAAGGCAACGAUGCAUAGCCGACCUGAGAGGGUGAUCGGCCACACUGGAACUGAGACACGGUCCAGACUCCUACGGGAGGCAGCAGUAGGGAAUCUUCCGCAAUGGGCGAAAGCCUGACGGAGCAACGCCGCGUGAGUGAUGAAAGUCUUCGGAUCGUAAAACUCUGUUAUUAGGGAAGAACAUAUGUGUAAGUAACUGUGCACAUCUUGACGGUACCUAAUCAGAAAGCCACGGCUAACUACGUG
This 497-nucleotide ribosomal RNA is filed under the name uncultured bacterium. Its description in RNAcentral is "partial 16S ribosomal RNA". It matches the Rfam family "Bacterial small subunit ribosomal RNA", at positions 28 to 507 of the family's 1533-position model. The record is from RNAcentral.